GACGAACGCUGGCGGCGUGCUUAACACAUGCAAGUCGAACGGAAAGGCGCUGCUUUUGUGCCUUUCUCGAGUGGCGCACGCGUGAGUGACACAUGUGUAUCCUGCCCUUAACUGUGGGAUAACUUCAGGAAACAGGGGCUAAUACCGGAUAGGAGCUCCUGCUGCAUGGGGGUGGAUGGAAAGUGUCGGCGGUUGGGGAUCGUCUCGCGGCUUAUCAGCUUCUUGGUGUGGUAGUGGCUUACCAAGCCUUUGACGGGUAGCCGGCCUGAGAGGGUUAACGGCGACAUUGGGACUACGAUACGGAGCAGAAUCGUACGGGAGGCAGCAGUGGGGAAUAUUGCGCAGUGGGCGGAAGCGUGAUGCAGAAGUGCCGCGUGCGGGAUGCCCGCUUUCUGGGUGUAAACAGCUUUGUCAUGUGACGAAGCGUGAGUGACGGUAAUGGGUAAAGAAGCACCGGCUAACUACGUG
This 468-nucleotide ribosomal RNA is filed under the name uncultured bacterium. Its description in RNAcentral is "partial 16S ribosomal RNA". It matches the Rfam family "Bacterial small subunit ribosomal RNA", at positions 28 to 507 of the family's 1533-position model. The record is from RNAcentral.